CUUUAGCCAUCUCUUGAAAAAAUUAUUAGUUGAACCAGAUCCACCACAUCAUUUUUGGAUCAGUUCAACCAAAUUCUGACAUAUCGACAAGGAAAAGUAGAUCACUGAAGGAUAAAAAGAGGGAUGAGGAAAUUAAUCAGGAUUUCACCUUCCCUCCUCUCUCUCAAUCGUAACCUCGUCUAACCCAUCUCUACCUACUAUGGCAAAACAGUAGUUGGACACUUCACCAUGCUCGAUCAUGUUAUCGCUGUCUCUGCCCUCUAGUGGGAGAUUCGAGGCCUUGGACCCCUUUUGCACCUAGUCUUUGCCUUCGAGACUCGUGAACAUCUCCCCUAUGCUCGGGCUCAUCGAGCUCCCCCUCUCUAGAACUCAAGACUGGGGCUCAAAACCUACCACCCGCCCCUAUCUACCUC
RNAcentral lists this long non-coding RNA (413 nucleotides) under Elaeis guineensis (African oil palm). Its description in RNAcentral is "long non-coding RNA (EGUI_LNC004014)". Lineage: Eukaryota; Viridiplantae; Streptophyta; Magnoliopsida; Arecales; Arecaceae. The record is from RNAcentral.